RNAcentral lists this transfer RNA (69 nucleotides) under marine eukaryotic metagenome. It matches the Rfam family "tRNA". Rfam says of the family: Transfer RNA (tRNA) molecules are approximately 80 nucleotides in length. Their secondary structure includes four short double-helical elements and three loops (D, anti-codon, and T loops). The record is from RNAcentral.
GGAUGUAGUUCAGCUUGGUAGAACGCUUGCUUCGGGAGUAAGAGGUCGCAGGUUCAAAUCCUGUCAUCC